GUGAGGAAUAUUGGUCAAUGGACGGAAGUCUGAACCAGCCAUGCCGCGUGCAGGAAUAAGGUCCUAUGGAUUGUAAACUGCUUUUAUUCGGGAAUAAACCUCUUUACGUGUAGGGAGCUGAAGGUACCGAAGGAAUAAGCACCGGCUAACUCCAUGCCAGCAGCCGCGGUAAUACGGAGGGUGCAAGCGUUAUCCGGAAUCAUUGGGUUUAAAGGGUCCGCAGGCGGGCUAUCAAGUCAGAGGUGAAAUCCCACAGCUUAACUGUGGAACUGCCUUUGAAACUGAUGGUCUUGAAUUAAGUGGGCGUUGGCGGAAUAUGACAUGUAGCGGUGAAAUGCAUAGAUAUGUCAUGGAACACCGAAAGCGAAGGCAGCUAACGAUACUUAUAUUGACGCUCAUGGACGAAAGCGUGGGUAGCGAACAGGAUUAGAAACCCUUGUAGUCC
RNAcentral lists this ribosomal RNA (445 nucleotides) under uncultured bacterium. RNAcentral describes it as "partial 16S ribosomal RNA". It matches the Rfam family "Bacterial small subunit ribosomal RNA", at positions 354 to 796 of the family's 1533-position model. The record is from RNAcentral.